UUUGGUUUUCUUUGAAAUCAGCUCUGUCAUGCAGACUUUUUCAUUUGUAUUCUGUCCAUACCCUGGUGUUUUGAUUUCCUUUUUCUUAAAUGUAUUCCUGAGCGAAUCAACUGUGUUCAAAGAUCUGUUUCCCAAGCUGAAGCCAUGAAAUAUGGGCCUCCUAUUGCCAAUUGAUUUUGGGUUGAAUGCUGUAAUUUGAAAACUUAAUAAUAACUUGUGAAGCCAUAUAUAACCCUAGUUGCAAGAUUCCCCAGCUUACACCUUACCCAGUUUCGUGUCUGAAUUUUUCAUUACACAUUAUGAUUAGACAUACGUAUCGAUUCCCGUAUUUCUAUAUAUCUAUCUGAAUUCUUCCCCAUGUUUUGAAAUAAAUCUACUGAGUUAUAAACUUUUGUAUUAUGUAUUUCUUCUGAUUAUUGUACAUAGUUUUAAGACUCUUUCAUAAUCCUUCAGAUAAUUAUUUUUCAAUGCGCUUCUUUGUAUUAUAUUAUUUUCAAAAGUGCACAUUUGAUUAGGUCGGACCUCUUGCGCCACGCCCCUGUUAAGGCAGUGUAGAAUGCAUUUAAUUCGGUUGGAAUUGGGAUCUUGAUCAUUUGUUGAUUUAAAAACCUGUUAUGGAAAAAAAUUGGUGCAUAGGCUGUCUUUGUAUCAUCAUUUUCACUUCUUCCUUUUUUCAUCUACGCUUGUUUGGAAAUGAUGUUAAAUGUUAAAUGUUCUUAGAUGACUAUCAUAGUGUUUAUAGGGAAGAUACUUUAAUUGCUUCCAUAUGGUUCAAAUUGAAUUACAAUUCUGUUUUUAAAUUUUUUAUUUCAAUCAGGAUUGAAGAAGAAGCAAAUGAGUUAAAAAGCAAGUUUUCCAGUCCAAGGCGUUCAAUGCUGGAGGAAAUGCUUUUCCAGAUGACAGUGGCCACCUUGAUGACGUAGAUGUUAUUCCAGAUGACAGGCGUUCAAUGCUGUUUAAUUUUUUAUUAACUAAUUUAAUGUUUUGUUUGUUCAAUGCUUUUCAAGAUUUUGUUUUUAUUUUAUUUUUCAUUAUAUAUGUCAUGGAAGAGAAAUAUUGGAAUAUCUAUUAAAUUGGUUUGUUUAUUUUCCUUGGUUUUAUUGUUUGGUUACAGUGUAAAAUCGUUUUAUUUUGUUAUACUUAC
This 1144-nucleotide long non-coding RNA is filed under the name Prunus dulcis (almond). Its description in RNAcentral is "sRNA ncRNA". Lineage: Eukaryota; Viridiplantae; Streptophyta; Magnoliopsida; Rosales; Rosaceae. The record is from RNAcentral.